GGCCCGGUAGCGGAUGGUCCGCACCUGCACUCACUAUGUAGGGAAAUCAAUGGUGGUUUGCAGGCACCGCUCGUUCGACUCGAGCCCGGGCCA
Non-coding RNA from Mycena epipterygia, 93 nucleotides. NCBI's taxonomy places the organism in Eukaryota, Fungi, Basidiomycota, Agaricomycetes, Agaricales, Mycenaceae. The record is from the annotation of a GenBank genome assembly.